CAAUAGCGUAUAUUAAAGUUGUUGCAGUUAAAAAGCUCGUAGUUGGAUUUCUGGUAGGAGCGACCGUGCCGAACUUGAUUGUUCGAGUAUUGUGUUGUCUUCAGCCAUCCUCGUGGAGAACUUUUCUAACAUUAACUUGUUGGGAUUGGGACCCGCGUCGUUUACUGUGAAAAAAUUAGAGUGUUUAAAGCAGGCAUUAGCUUGAAUACAUUAGCAUGGAAUAAUAAGAUAGGACUUUGGUACUAUUUUGUUGGUUUGCAUACCAAAUUAAUGAUCAACAGGAACAGUUUGAGGAUAUUCGUAUGAACAUGUCAGAGGUGAAAUUCUUGGAUUUUGAUCAGACGAACUACUGCGAAAGCAUUUAUCAAGGAUGUUUUCACUAA
Molecule: ribosomal RNA, 383 nt
Filed under: uncultured eukaryote
Lineage: Eukaryota
Description: partial 18S ribosomal RNA
Rfam family: Eukaryotic small subunit ribosomal RNA
Source: RNAcentral